GACAGAGGUGCCAAGCGUUAGGCGGAAUCACUGGGCUUAAAGCGUGUGUAGGCGGGCCGUUAAGUAUCUUGUGAAAUCCCCCGGCUCAACCGGGGAAUGGCUGGAUAUACUGGCGGUCUUGAGCGAUCUAGGGGCAGAUGGAACAAGUGGUGGAGCGGUGAAAUGCGUAGAUAUCACUUGGAACGCCAAAGGUGAAAACAGUCUGCUGGGGAUCUGCUGACGCUGAGACACGAAAGCCAGGGGAGCGAACGGG
This 253-nucleotide ribosomal RNA is filed under the name uncultured bacterium. RNAcentral describes it as "partial 16S ribosomal RNA". It matches the Rfam family "Bacterial small subunit ribosomal RNA", at positions 524 to 776 of the family's 1533-position model. The record is from RNAcentral.